RNAcentral lists this unclassified non-coding RNA (371 nucleotides) under uncultured Gammaproteobacteria bacterium. Its description in RNAcentral is "contains 16S-23S intergenic spacer region". Lineage: Bacteria; Pseudomonadati; Pseudomonadota; Gammaproteobacteria. The record is from RNAcentral.
UCCGGUUUGUCACCGGCAGUCUCCCUAGAGUGCCCUUGCGUAGCAACUAGGGACAAGGGUUGCGCUCGUUGCGGGACUUAACCCAACACCUCACGGCACGAGCUGACGACAGCCAUGCAGCACCUGUGCUAGCUCCCCGAAGGGUCCCUCACGUUUCUGAUCAGUACCACUAGCAUGUCAAGCCUUGGUAAGGUUCUUCGCGUUGCAUCGAAUUAAACCACACGCUCCGCCGCUUGUGCGGGUCCCCGUCAAUUCCUUUGAGUUUUAACCUUGCGGCCGUACUCCCCAGGCGGUCAACUUCACGCGUUAGCUACGGUACCAAGGAAUCGCUUCCCCAACACCCAGUUGACAUCGUUUAGGGCGUGGACUAC